CAACAACGGAUCUCUUGGCUCUGGCAUCGAUGAAGAACGCAGCGAAAUGCGAUAAGUAAUGUGAAUUGCAGAAUUCAGUGAAUCAUCGAAUCUUUGAACGCACAUUGCGCCCGUCAGUAUUCUGGCGGGCAUGCCUGUCCGAGCGUCAUUU
This 151-nucleotide ribosomal RNA is filed under the name Tolypocladium sp. JDF-2013h. RNAcentral's name for it is "5.8S ribosomal RNA". It matches the Rfam family "5.8S ribosomal RNA". Rfam says of the family: 5.8S ribosomal RNA (5.8S rRNA) is a component of the large subunit of the eukaryotic ribosome. It is transcribed by RNA polymerase I as part of the 45S precursor that also contains 18S and 28S rRNA. The record is from RNAcentral. Lineage: Eukaryota; Fungi; Ascomycota; Sordariomycetes; Hypocreales; Ophiocordycipitaceae.